RNAcentral lists this ribosomal RNA (774 nucleotides) under uncultured Neocallimastigales. RNAcentral describes it as "partial large subunit ribosomal RNA". It matches the Rfam family "Eukaryotic large subunit ribosomal RNA", at positions 24 to 642 of the family's 3401-position model. Lineage: Eukaryota; Fungi; Neocallimastigomycota; Neocallimastigomycetes; Neocallimastigales. The record is from RNAcentral.
UAUCUCUGUAGAGUCUGCAUAUCAAUAAGCGGAGGAAAAGAAACUAACAAGGAUUCCCCUAGUAACGGCGAGUGAAGCGGGAAGAGCUCAAAUUUGAAAUCUUCAAGGUUUGACCUUGACGAAUUGUAGUUUAAAGAAGUGUUUUCGGUUAGAGGAGUAGUAAAAGUUCUUUGGAAUAGGACAUCAUAGAGGGUGAGAAUCCCAUAUUUGACUAUUCUUUCUAGCUUUGUGAUACACUUUCAAAGAGUCGGAUUGUUUGGGAAUGCAGUCCAAAAUGGGUGGUAAAUUUCAUCUAAAGCUAAAUAUUGGCGAGAGACCGAUAGCGAACAAGUACCGUGAGGGAAAGAUGAAAAGAACUUUGAAAAGAGAGUUAAACAGUACGUGAAAUUGUCAAAAGGGAAGCGUUUGACACCAGUGUUGUUUUUCCGAAAAUCAAUUAAAAAUUGAUUCAUGCCAGGUUGUAUUGACCUUAUCAGCUUGCAAUUUGGUUUUGGGUCUCUUUUUGAUGCACUUUUCGGUUAACAAGUCAACAUCAAUUUCCUUUGCUGUAAAAAGGUAAGAGGAAGGUGGCUUCAAUUUCGGUUGAAGUGUUUAUAGCCUUUUAUCUCUGCAGUCGGGGAGAUUGAGGUCUGCAGCGUAGAUCCUUCGGGGCUAGAUACAUUUAUGCUAAGUUAUAGCUUUUCAUAGACAACUUGUUGACUAUGUUUAGUCAUGUAGCUUACUCGUAAGUGCUAUUUUACCUACGCUUAGGAUGUUGAGCGCAUGUCUCUCUCU